CUUGCUUCAGUGCUGUUGAAAUAUUAGGCCUUUAAAUGGCUACUAAAUGACAAACAUCCAGAUGAUUUUCAUUCUCGGAUUCAAACUGACUCCUGACCCAACUGUUGAGAGUUGAACUGAAGCCAACUACUCCUAUUUAAGGUGCAGCACAUGUAAAGGAGAGGACUGUACACAUGCUGUUAGCCUCCAAGAUCAAGGCUUACUUCUCUGCAUCACUGUCUCAGGACAAGGCAGAUUCAGAAAAAUAAAAGAGCUCAUCCCAGGGGCAUCCUGGACCCAUCACAACUGCAGUGCUACCAGAAAAGAGACCGAAUCAUCACUGUUUUUAGAAGCAUGUUCUAUCAUCCCCAGGCUAUGAUACCCUUGGAGAGAAAUUGAGAUCAAAUGGAGGAUCAAUCGCCAUGAAGAAGGGCUCAGCUCUUCCCAUUCACUCCAGAGGAAUCCAAUAAGAACUCAUAAUUAAUGUAGCCUCCAAUGUUAAGACACUGGAAGAGGAGGAAUAUUUUUCUUUUAAUUUCUACUUUAUUUUGUAACAGGUAGGACAAGCUAUAAAAUAUCUAUUUAUAUCAGGAGUUUAUACUUUUGUUGACAGACCAUUCUACAUUCCCACUUGUUAAUCUUACUGUAGCUCAAGACUUUUCAAGAAAGUCUCACUUGCCCACUUUGAUGACUUUUUAUGCUUGAAGAGCACUAACUACCUUUUCUCUGUUGUUCUGUCCUCAAGAUUCUGAUUUUCUCUGAAGAAGCUCUGCUAAAGCACAAAAUAUUGUACUAGGAAAUGAUAGCAAAAAGUUGCCAUUCUGGCUUGAAUAGAAAUAUUGCAGCAAUUUUUAUUAAAUGUGGUCCUCCC
This 850-nucleotide long non-coding RNA is filed under the name Numida meleagris (helmeted guineafowl). Its description in RNAcentral is "lncRNA (ENSNMEG00000021252.1)". Lineage: Eukaryota; Metazoa; Chordata; Aves; Galliformes; Numididae. The record is from RNAcentral.